AGCAGCGUGGCUCAGUGGAAAGAGCCUGGGCUUGCAAGUCAGAGGUCAUGGGUUCGAAUCUCUGCUCUGCCA
Molecule: non-coding RNA, 72 nt
Organism: Ornithorhynchus anatinus (platypus)
Lineage: Eukaryota; Metazoa; Chordata; Mammalia; Monotremata; Ornithorhynchidae
Source: Rfam